RNAcentral lists this ribosomal RNA (580 nucleotides) under Russula sp. RNAcentral's name for it is "SSU rRNA". It matches the Rfam family "Bacterial small subunit ribosomal RNA", at positions 346 to 977 of the family's 1533-position model. The record is from RNAcentral. Lineage: Eukaryota; Fungi; Basidiomycota; Agaricomycetes; Russulales; Russulaceae.
UUUCAGCAAGUCCAAAAUAUUAGUCAAUGCUCGAAAGAGUGAACUAGCUAACUGAAAUCAAUAAAAUAAUUGAUAACAUAAGGGAAAAUAAUGAUAUUACCUUAUUAUUAGUGUCGUCCAAAACUGGUGCCAGAAGACUCGGUAAGGCCAGAGACACAAACGUUAAUCGUCUUAAUCAGGCGUAAAGGGUUUGUAGGCGGCUUUAAAAUUUACUAAAAAAUAAAUAAUAAGUAAAAAAUAAAAGCUAGAAUCAAAUAGAGGAUAUAUGAAAUAAUGUUUAGAGUAGGUCUGAUAUCCUUAGAUACUAAGUAGAAUAUUAAAGGCGAAAGCUUUUUUCCAUUAAUGAUUGACGCUCAGAAACGAAAGUGAGGAUAGGAAAUAGGAUUAGAUACCCAAAAUACUCCUCUCUGUCAACGAUGAAUGGUAAUUAUUAGUAUAACUUAUUAAUAAUAAUGUUAACACGAUAACCAUUCCGCCUUGUGAGUACAACUGCAAAGUUGAAAACAAAAAAAUUAGUCGGUUUCGGAGCAAACGAAGUGAAGCAUGUUAUUUAAUUCGAUAAUCCGCACAGCUGAUACAG